AUGGUUCCUGCGCUUUCCUUACUACAGAAGGGAGUGGAGGCAGACGAGAAAGCAUGUGAAUUCUAUCCAUUGAUCACCGGGGGAUACGGUUUCACGGGCGAGCGAGCGAGCGAGCGGAGGGCCCCGGGGUUCUCUUCAGCAGCAGCUCCUCCUCUCGCGUCCAGAGCCCUGGAGGCCUGGUGCGCGGUGCCGCUGUUGCCCAGGCCACUUCAGCCACGGGACCUGUGCACGGGCUGGGUUUGCACAAGCUCCCACAAAACAAAUCUUCCCUGCCAUCUUUCUCUCCCAUUGCACGAGGAACUUCCCGGUGCAAUAAGGCGUCAGACUUCAGCAGGGCUGGCCCGCCUUCGCCGGAAGCGCUUAACCCCGCACCUGACCCAGACUGCGGCCCGGCCCGCAGCCUCCCGGCCGCUAACUCGCCGUCCUGCAACUCCCGCCCGCGGGAGCUGCGCCCCGGGUGCGGGCGGUCCCCGGGGCCGAGACCACUCCCUUCCGGAGCCGCCGCGCCGCCCGCCCUUCAGGGAGGGGCGUGCACCGCCAGGCCGGCCGCGGCGCCGCUCGGCGCGGGGACUUCAAACCCGGGCGCGGGAGCGCGGGAGGGGCGCGGGAGGGGCGCGGGAGGGGCGCGGGAGCCGCAGCCACCCUCGCCGCUCGCCCGCGCGGCCCCGAGAGGAAACGGGCGGUGCCGCCCGGGUCGCCCCCUUCCCCGCCCCUCCUCCCGCCCCAACGGGCCGCGGACCUGACUUCCCCAAACUCCGCAGAGGGAAGCCCUGCCCGGGCCGGCACCUCGGGGCGGCGCGCGCCGGGGACGGAAGUGGGGGGAGCCGUGGCCGCGCCGCGCCUUUGUUAGGGCUCGGGACCCCGCGGGCCCCGGCGAGCACCCCGCCGCCGCCGCCGCCGCCGCCCGGGACGGGACAGGACGGGACGGGACGCGGCGGGAAGGGGCGGGAAGGGGCGGGGCGGCCCGGGGCCGGAGUGGCGGCGGCCCCGAGGAGGGCGCGCGGCGGCGCGUCCCGGGGUCCGCCUGCCCCGGGGCCGCCGCGCCUGGGGACGUUCCUCACCUUCCUGCGCCUCCCCGGGCCGCGGGCUGGCCCAAGCGCGGCUUCCCGCGGGACAGCGGCGGGCGGCCCCAGCUUCUCGGCAGCGCCACGGCCACUCCCCGCCUCGCUGAGGCGAGAGAGCGCUGGUCCCUCCUCGCGGGAUGAUUCACUGCGCUCCUUACCUGGAGGCUCCAACAAGUCCCCUCCCCUCCCCUCCCCUCCCCUGCGCCGGCCCGCGCGGCGGUCGGAAGCGGGCGCCCUCUGCCGGGCCACCCGCGGGAUCACCGCAGGGCCGGGGCGCGGAGCCGGGCCGAGCGCCGGACCCUGGGGCCCCCCGCGCGCGGGAGCGGCGCCCACCCGUCGCCGGGGGCAGUGCCCAGCGUGCAGGGCCAUCGUGGCCGCCGAGUCCGCGCUGGGCAGACCCCGGGACAGGACCGGAGGUGGCCCCGCGCCCCCGACCCCUGGGCGCGCCCGGAGCCCCCCGCCCGCGGGCCAGCCCCGCCCCCGCUGUCCCGACGGAACCACCAAGAAUCGCGUCCGCACGCCUGCUUGCAAAACACUGGAAAGGCAGUUUUACCAAGUGAGAACAAAGUUUGUGUCUUCUCUCUCCGCAGCCUCCUUCUGA
RNAcentral lists this long non-coding RNA (1665 nucleotides) under Canis lupus dingo (dingo). RNAcentral's name for it is "lncRNA (ENSCAFG00020026727.1)". The record is from RNAcentral. Lineage: Eukaryota; Metazoa; Chordata; Mammalia; Carnivora; Canidae.